Long non-coding RNA from Papaver somniferum (opium poppy), 522 nucleotides. RefSeq lists it as uncharacterized. NCBI's taxonomy places the organism in Eukaryota, Viridiplantae, Streptophyta, Magnoliopsida, Ranunculales, Papaveraceae. The record is from RefSeq and is a predicted model, not a curated record. The transcript is spliced from 2 exons.
UUUUUCUAUUUUCAUUUCAACUUCUCAGAUCCAAAUCGGGAGAGCUGCUAGAAGAGAUUUUUUUUCUUGGGUUUUUAUCGACGAACGGGAGAUUAGUUAUUUCGAUUUUGUUUGUUUAACCGAGAUUUGGUUAGUUUUAAUGUUGUCUUAUUUUAUUUGAAGCUAUUUAGAUCUUUAUUUUUAAUGUAAUGGAGAAAUUCAACUGAGAUACGUAUUUGAAGUUAUUGUUACCUACAGAUGAAGACAAUCAACAAAGAAUCAAUCAAGGUUCAAUAUGUCCAAAGGAUACAUACUCUAUGUGUAAGCAGUGCGGCAGAUAUAUACCCAUAUUUGCAAGUAGUAUAGCAGAUAUGUACUCAGAUUUGUAAGCAGUUUAACAGAUAUGUACUCAAAUUUGUAAGCAGUAUGGAAGAUAUGUACUCAAAUUUGUAAACAAUGUAGCAGAUAUGUACUCAAAUUUGUGGUCUUUUAUAUGUUUUAAUUAAAUUUGGACCUCCAGAUAAAUAAAAUCCCGAUUUGGUA